UGGGGAAUAUUGCACAAUGGGCGAAAGCCUGAUGCAGCAACGCCGCGUGAGGGACGACGGCCUUCGGGUUGUAAACCUCUUUUAGCAAGGAAGAAGCGAAAGUGACGGUACUUGCAGAAAAAGCGCCGGCUAACUACGUGCCAGCAGCCGCGGUAAUACGUAGGGCGCAAGCGUUAUCCGGAAUUAUUGGGCGUAAAGAGCUCGUAGGCGGUUUGUCGCGUCUGCUGUGAAAACCCGAGGCUCAACCUCGGGCCUGCAGUGGGUACGGGCAGACUAGAGUGCGGUAGGGGAGAUUGGAACUCCNUGGUGUAGCGGUGGAAUGCGCAGAUAUCAGGAAGAACACCGAUGGCGAAGGCAGAUCUCUGGGCCGUAACUGACGCUGAGGAGCGAAAGGGUGGGGAGCAAACAGGCUUAGAUACCCUGGUAGUCCACCCCGUAAACGUUGGGAACUAGUUGUGGGGUCCAUUCCACGGAUUCCGUGACGCAGCUAACGCAUUAAGUUCCCCGCCUGGGGAGUACGGCCGCAAGGCUAAAACUC
This 538-nucleotide ribosomal RNA is filed under the name uncultured bacterium. RNAcentral describes it as "partial 16S ribosomal RNA". It matches the Rfam family "Bacterial small subunit ribosomal RNA", at positions 355 to 902 of the family's 1533-position model. The record is from RNAcentral.